UAGGGAAUCUUCCACAAUGGACGAAAGUCUGAUGGAGCAACGCCGCGUGAGUGAAGAAGGGUUUCGGCUCGUAAAACUCUGUUGUUAAGGAAGAACAUAUCUGAGAGUAACUGUUCAGGUAUUGACGGUAUUUAACCAGAAAGCCACGGCUAACUACGUACCAG
This 164-nucleotide ribosomal RNA is filed under the name uncultured bacterium. Its description in RNAcentral is "partial 16S rRNA". It matches the Rfam family "Bacterial small subunit ribosomal RNA", at positions 355 to 511 of the family's 1533-position model. The record is from RNAcentral.